UACAGAGGGUGCGAGCGUUAAUCGGAAUUACUGGGCGUAAAGAGCUCGUAGGCGGUUUGUCGCGUCUGCUGUGAAAUUUCGGGGCUCAACCCCGAACUUGCAGUGGGUACGGGCAGACUAGAGUGUGGUAGGGGAGACUGGAAUUCCUGGUGUAGCGGUGAAAUGCGCAGAUAUCAGGAGGAACACCGAUGGCGAAGGCAGGUCUCUGGGCCAUAACUGACGCUGAGAAGCGAAAGCAUGGGGAGCGAACAGG
Molecule: ribosomal RNA, 253 nt
Filed under: uncultured bacterium
Lineage: Bacteria
Description: partial 16S ribosomal RNA
Rfam family: Bacterial small subunit ribosomal RNA
Source: RNAcentral